CCAAGGCUAAACAACAGGAUCAUGUACAACAAGUUCCCAGGAAAUCAACUUGAAUACAUACAUGAUCAAAACAAUAGCGAGGGCACAACCAGUGUCGAACAUUACAAGAGCAAGCAUCACAAGUAUAAACAAGUGAAUAAAAGAGAGAUAUAACUAUCUAUUACAUCACAUUUGACAUUCAACAUUUAAUACAACUUGGUUACAUUUAAGCUUCCAAAAUGAAUACAUAAUCAUAUCACAUAUAUAUAAUGCUAGCUAUCCAAAAUACAUCAUGUCAUCUAUAACCAUGCACACGAGGGUGCUCUAGUACAAUAGGAAAGCUCUACUAGCUAGCUAGGGCGCUACGCCCUUACCGCGAUCACCUGCCGGUCCGCUCACGUGUGUACCUGUACCCCAAAACCACACGGGGUGAGAACUAUAAAAAUAUAGUUCCCAGUGGGUUCGGCCGCCGACUCCGCCGAUCUUCCCACUAGGUCUAAGCUGGCACAGAUAGAUAGAUAGAUAGAUAGAUAGAUAGAUAGAUAUUGAACUGCAACUAUGAUCUAUUGUGCCAUCAAAUGCAAGCAAUGCAUGAAGUGUCAACUAGCAAUAAGCCUACUAUCAUGAUAAUAUGCUUCAACGAUGUAAUGAAUACAAAUACGACACAGUUAUGCAAUCCACUAACAUACGCUAUGUCUAAUCAGGGUAUGAAUGCAAAUCUACUUAUGCUAUUCAUGUCAUUUCCCAAUCCACUAGGCUACCCCGCCUAAGAUAUCAAAUCUCAUAGGUACUCACACCACAAUCUAGUAGGUGAAGAGGUGAAGAGCUACCCCGCUCUUCGCCCUGACUGAUUAUCUCAAAUCUCAUAGGUGAGGAGCUACCCUGCUCUUAUCUCACCCGUCUCACAUCUCAAAGGUCAUAGAUGAAGAGCUACCCAACUCUAAUCUCAUAGAUAUUGAGCUGCCCCGCUCAAUCUCAUAGGGGAAAGGCUACCCCGCCCUUCGCCCCAACUCACGUCCCAGUCCAAUGGGUGAGGAGCUACCCCGCUCGUAUCCCACCCGAUGAGCUACCCCGCUCGUGAGCUAUCCCGCUCGUGUGACAACUC
This 1084-nucleotide long non-coding RNA is filed under the name Ananas comosus (pineapple). RNAcentral's name for it is "long non-coding RNA (ACOM_LNC022072)". Lineage: Eukaryota; Viridiplantae; Streptophyta; Magnoliopsida; Poales; Bromeliaceae. The record is from RNAcentral.